GUGCGACAGGAAGUCGCUUAACGUAUUGUUUUACAUUGAUAAAACCAGCUAUCCCAUUAGCUGUAGCCUACCGGGACAGGCGCUGCCGGCAACGGCGGGGUCUGAAGCUCCCGGGACAACGAGAGCCGGGCGUCAGCCGGGUAAAGCCCCGUGAGGGGCUUUACCUUGCUGCAAGCAUCAUGUGGCAGGAGAGCAAGGCUGGUCAGAAGGGUUAACACAUGUGAACUGUUGAUAAACACCGUUAUCGGCAACAGGCCAAAGAUGCUGACAGGCCUGAACCAAAAGGUACGGGGUCCGGUUGCUACCUCGCGCACAGGGAGCACAUGGGCGCAGAGACCCCCGGUGAAGAGACAGAACCCGCCCUGACCCUCUGUAUGUUAAGCGGAACCUGGUAAACCCGUAUCGCUGCCUUACAGGCAGGUGAACCGUAAGGAACACUGUAGGCGGUGCGGGCAGAGGAGGACGGAAAAAGCAAAUGCCCGGUUGUAAUGACCGGGAUACGGGGCAGGUUCCCCGACGCGAAAGCGGGCAGACUUCCGUCUGGUCUUUAAUUGCAUGAAAAGCUGUAAAGCAGUCAAAAGGAUAUCAGCGAGAUGAAUACACACAUCAGUGUGUCCACGAUACCCCACCCGACAGGCUGGCACACCAUAGACUGGAAAGCAUGCCAUGCCCGGGUGCGAAAGCUACAGUUACGGAUUGCAAAGGCAACCCGACAGCAACAAUGGCGGCAGGUCAGAGAACUACAGCGCAUCCUCACCCGCUCAUUCUCCGGCAAAGCCGUGGCUGUCAGGCGUGUAACUGAAAAUACCGGUAAAAGGACACCCGGUAUUGACGGAAAAAUAUGGCACACACCGAAGGAGAAAUGGGAAGGAAUAUGCAGCCUGAAUCUGUGUGGUUACAGGCCACAGCCACUACGGCGAAUACAUAUCCCAAAAUCAAACGGCAAAACGCGACCGCUGGGCAUACCCACAAUGAGGGACCGGGCCAUGCAGGCACUGUGGCUGCUGGCUCUGGAACCCGUAUCCGAGACCACUGCUGACCAUAACAGCUAUGGUUUCAGACCAAUGCGCAGCACGCAUGACGCCAUUGAGUCCAUUUUUCUGCGGAUGAGCCAGAAAGUAUCGCCCAAAUGGAUACUGGAGGGCGAUAUUAAAGGGUGUUUCGAUAACAUCAGCCAUGACUGGCUGCUUUCCCAUAUUCCGAUGGACAGGAGACUGCUUAAAAAAUGGUUGAAAGCAGGUUACAUGGAAAGAGGCGUGUUUAACCAUACGAACAGCGGGACACCGCAGGGAGGCAUCAUAUCCCCUGUUCUCGCCAACAUGGCUCUGGACGGACUGGAGAAGGAACUGAUGCAAACGUUCAGGAAAAGUGGUUAUCACAGUGCAAAGCACCAGGUGAAUUAUGUGAGAUAUGCUGAUGAUUUCAUCUGUUCAGGCAGCUCCCGUGAAUUGCUGGAAAAUGAGGUCAGACCACUGAUUGCAGCUUUCAUGCGCGAACGAGGGCUGGAACUGUCGGAAGAAAAAACCGCGAUUACACAUAUAGAUAAAGGCUUCGACUUUUUAGGGCAGAACGUCAGGAAGUACAACGGUAAAAUGCUGAUUAAACCGUCGAAGAAAAACCUGAAGAACUUCCUCUGUAAAGUCAGAGAAAUAAUUAAACGCAAUCCGACGCUCCCGGCAUGGAAACUGAUAGGCCAGCUAAACCCGGUAAUCCGGGGAUGGGCUACCUAUCACCGACACGUCGUGGCGAAAGAAACAUUUAAUUAUGUCGACACCCAAAUCUGGCGAGCUAUAUGGCGAUGGUGUGUAAGAAGGCACCCCCGAAAAGGAUUGCGGUGGAUCGCCGGACGAUACUUCUCCUUUGAAGGCAGGCGCUGGAUCUUUAAAGCCAUAACCCCGGAAGGGAAAAUUCUGACUCUCUUCCGGGCAAUGGAAACACCGAUAAAGCGCCAUAUAAAAAUCAAAGGCGAAGCAACACCAUACACCCCCGGAAUGGAAAUCUACUUUGAACGUCGUCUGGAUCUAAUCUGGAAAGGCAAAUCAAAGAAGAUGAAGACAGUAGUUCAACUCUGGAAGAGGCAGGGGAAACACUGUCCGCAGUGCGGACAACCCAUAACCAACCAGACCGGAUGGAAUAUACAUCACCGGAUCAGGAAAGUUAUGGGCGGCAGUGACGAACUGACCAAUCUCGAGUUGUUACAUCCGAACUGCCACCGACAGUUACACAGCAGGGAAGCCGGUGCUCACCGAAAGCACUUAUAAAGGCUUGAGCGGAGUGCGGGGAAACUCGCACGCUCCGUUCUUAGGGGGCGGCGGCGCAGCAAUGUGCCGCUGCUACCCGAC
This 2342-nucleotide non-coding RNA is filed under the name Klebsiella pneumoniae. The record is from RNAcentral. Lineage: Bacteria; Pseudomonadati; Pseudomonadota; Gammaproteobacteria; Enterobacterales; Enterobacteriaceae.